Long non-coding RNA from Passer domesticus (house sparrow), 923 nucleotides. RefSeq lists it as uncharacterized. Lineage: Eukaryota; Metazoa; Chordata; Aves; Passeriformes; Passeridae. The transcript has 4 exons. The record is from RefSeq and is a predicted model, not a curated record.
UGUGCUAACACCCCACCAUUUUGUGUUGAGCUGUGGGGUCAGACCGCCAUUUUGUGUGAGUCUGUGGGACACUGCCUUUUUGUGUGAGUCUGUGGGGUCAGACCACCAUUUUAUGUCCGGCUGUGGGAUAUUCUGCCAUUAUGUGUGAGGCUGUGGGUUCAGACCGCCAUUUUCUGCGGGGCUGUGGGACACUCUUCCCUUUUCUGUUGGGCUGUGGGACACUCCACCAUUGUGUGUGAGUCUGUACAGUCACUCCACCAUUUUGUGUGAGUCUGUACUCUCACUCCGCCAUUUUGUGAGAGGCUGUGGAAUAUUCCACCAUCUUGUGUUGGGCUGUGAGACACUCUCCCCAUUUGUGUGGGGCUGCGGGGUCAGACCACCGUUUUGUGUCCCUGCAGUGAUGCCAGGAUGUCCAUCCCCAGCUGUGCAUCCUCAGUGGAAAAACCUAGGAUGAAAAUGCUGUGCACAUGUUUUCCAAGGGUUCUGUCUCUGCUUGUUUUCUCAUAAGGUGCUGUUCCUGCUCCAAGGGCUGAUCCUUGCCUCCUCACCCGUGCGACCGCCCCAGGGCCGGCAGGAUCUGGCAGUGCCCGAGGUCUGCCUGGCCCUGCUGGUGCAGCUGCUUUGUCUGGAGCUGCCUGUGCAGGGCGCUGUUCCUGUGCAGAAGUCAAGCAAAGAAUGAAUGUGGAGGGGCCUGGCACUGCCAGCACAGGAGAAAAUAAACCCCAGCCAUUCAGGUUGGAGGCAGCGCACACUGUGCUGUCUGAAUAAAUACACAGAGUGAGCACAUCACUGAAAUGAUGUGACCAGAAUUAACCCAAUGCACCUCCAGAAUGUCUUCUCCUCAUCACCUCUCAUGGAUCCUGUUGCUGUUUGUCUGGCUGCCCGUGGAGCUCCCGUUCUUUGCCAGGCAAACAGCCGGAGUG